GAGUUUGAUCCUGGCUCAGGACGAACGCUGGCGGCGCGCCUAACACAUGCAAGUCGAACGAGCGAGAGAGAGCUUGCUUUCUCGAGCGAGUGGCGAACGGGUGAGUAACGCGUGAGGAAGCUGCCUCAAAGAGGGGGACAACAGUUGGAAACGACUGCUAAUACCGCAUAAGCCCACAGCUCGGCAUCGAGCAGAGGGAAAAGGAGCAAUCCGCUUUGAGAUGGCCUCGCGUCCGAUUAGCUAGUUGGUGAGGUAAUGGCCCACCAAGGCGACGAUCGGUAGCCGGACUGAGAGGUUGAACGGCCACAUUGGGACUGAGACACGGCCCAGACUCCUACGGGAGGCAGCAGUGGGGAAUAUUGCACAAUGGGGGAAACCCUGAUGCAGCGACGCCGCGUGGAGGAAGAAGGUCUUCGGAUUGUAAACUCCUGUUGUUGAGGAAGAUAAUGACGGUACUCAACAAGGAAGUGACGGCUAACUACGUGCCAGCAGCCGCGGUAAAACGUAGGUCACAAGCGUUGUCCGGAAUUACUGGGUGUAAAGGGAGCGCAGGCGGGAAGACAAGUUGGAAGUGAAAUCUAUGGGCUCAACCCAUAAACUGCUUUCAAAACUGUUUUUCUUGAGUAGUGCAGAGGUAGGCGGAAUUCCCGGUGUAGCGGUGGAAUGCGUAGAUAUCGGAGGAACACCAGUGGCGAAGGCGGCCUACUGGGCACCAACUGACGCUGAGGCUCGAAAGUGUGGGUAGCANACAGGAUUAGAUACCCUGGUAGUCCACACCGUAAACGAUGAUUACUAGGUGUUGGAGGAUUGGCCCCUUCAGUGCCGCAGUUAACACAAUAAGUAAUCCACCUGGGGAGUACGACCGCAAGGUUGAAACUCAAAGGAAUUGACGGGGGCCCGCACAAGCAGUGGAGUAUGUGGUUUAAUUCGACGCAACGCGAAGAACCUUACCAAGUCUUGACAUCCUGCGACGCACAUAGAAAUAUGUGUUUCCUUCGGGACGCAGAGACAGGUGGUGCAUGGUUGUCGUCAGCUCGUGUCGUGAGAUGUUGGGUUAAGUCCCGCAACGAGCGCAACCCUUACUGUCAGUUACUACGCAAGAGGACUCUGGCAGGACUGCCGUUGACAAAACGGAGGAAGGUGGGGAUGACGUCAAAUCAUCAUGCCCUUUAUGACUUGGGCUACACACGUACUACAAUGGCGUUAAACAAAGAGAAGCAAGACCGCGAGGUGGAGCAAAACUCAGAAACAACGUCCCAGUUCGGACUGCAGGCUGCAACUCGCCUGCACGAAGUCGGAAUUGCUAGUAAUCGUGGAUCAGCAUGCCACGGUGAAUACGUUCCCGGGCCUUGUACACACCGCCCGUC
RNAcentral lists this ribosomal RNA (1367 nucleotides) under uncultured bacterium. Its description in RNAcentral is "bacterial SSU rRNA". It matches the Rfam family "Bacterial small subunit ribosomal RNA". The record is from RNAcentral.